CCAGCAGGUUUGAGGAAGGAAUGUAUUCAGAAAAAACCCACUUCCUAUCAGGAAAAUCACAGAGGCAUGAGGCCUGCUCAUUACAAAACAUUAAUGUCAGUUAAUGUUAAUUAGUGUCAAAGAGUUCAGGAGGUUUCUAUUGGAGCAGCUGUCUAGAUUACCAGCAUGAACGUUGGCUACCAUAAUAUGCUGGAUACACGCACUGCAGCAUGUGGAUAGAAACCGCACUUGUCUUAAUCAUUGACGUGACACAAUUCAAAACACCGUACAGGCUCAGUCCACUCUGAGCUGGAUUCCCUUCCUGAGAAGAGAAAUCCAAUGUAAAUGCAUUUGGACGAAGUCAAAUAAAUCCACUCAUCAUGCAUUAUCAGUGGGGUGUGAACAGUGUCAUCUGUUUUAUCUUUGAGAUUU
Molecule: long non-coding RNA, 411 nt
Organism: Dermochelys coriacea (leatherback sea turtle)
Lineage: Eukaryota; Metazoa; Chordata; Testudines; Dermochelyidae
Exons: 3
Source: RefSeq, a predicted model, not a curated record